Molecule: ribosomal RNA, 446 nt
Filed under: uncultured bacterium
Lineage: Bacteria
Description: partial 16S ribosomal RNA
Rfam family: Bacterial small subunit ribosomal RNA
Source: RNAcentral
CCUACGGGCGGCAGCAGUCGAGAAUCAUUCACAAUGGGGGAAACCCUGAUGGUGCGACGCCGCGUGGGGGAAUGAAGGUCUUCGGAUUGUAAACCCCUGUCAUGUGGGAGCAAAUUAAAAAGAUAGUACCACAAGAGGAAGAGACGGCUAACUCUGUGCCAGCAGCCGCGGUAAUACAGAGGUCUCAAGCGUUGUUCGGAGUCACUGGGCGUAAGGCGUGCGUAGGCUGUUUCGUAAGUCGUGUGUGAAAGGCGCGGGCUCAACCCGCGGACGGCACAUGAUACUGCGAGACUAGAGUAAUGGAGGGGGAACCGGAAUGCUCGGUGUAGCAGUGAAAUGCGUAGCUAUCGAGAGGAACACUCGUGGCGAAGGCGGGUUCCUGGACAUUAACUGACGCUGAGGCACGAAGGCCAGGGGAGCGAAAGGGAUUAGAUACCCCAGUAGUC